UGCUGAUGACUAUCAUAGGGAA
This 22-nucleotide unclassified non-coding RNA is filed under the name Mus musculus (house mouse). RNAcentral's name for it is "oocyte_clustered_small_RNA476". Lineage: Eukaryota; Metazoa; Chordata; Mammalia; Rodentia; Muridae. The record is from RNAcentral.